AAGGGCACCACAAGAACGCGUGGAGCAUGUGGCUUAAUUUGACUCAACGCGGGAAAUCUUACCGGGUCCGGACACACUGAGGAUUGACAGAUAUAUUUAUAUGAUAUUUUAUAUUAUAUAAGAAAGAUGCUAGUUCUUUCAUGAUUAUGUGAUAGGUGGUGCGUGGCCGUUCUUAGUUCGUGGAGUGAUCUGUCUGCUUAAUUGCGUUUCACUUUUAUAGAGAUUUAUAUUUAGUGUUAUAUUUAUUUAUAAUAUUUUUUUUAUAAACAUCUCUCAGUUGAAAGCAACGAACGUGACCGUUGUCUUUUGUUGUCUAUAUAUUUUAUAAAUAGACUUUUUUUAAUAAUCAAAACUAAAGAGACCGCUGUAUUUUCUUUUAAACCAGAGGAAGGUAACGGCAAUAACAGGUCUGUGAUGCCCUUAGAUGUUCCGGGCUGCACACGUGCUACAAUAAUUAUUGCAGUGAGCAUCUCAUAUUUUUUUACACUGUUUAUUAUUCUAAUGGUGUAUAUUUAAUUAUAUGCAUUAUUUUGAAUAUACAGUAAAGCCUACAUCGAGAGUUUAAUCUUUUUUACGUGGGUAAUCAAUUAGAAGUAAUGAAUUUCCCUUUGUAUAUUUUAUGCAGUAUUUUAUAUCCACUUUAAUUUAUUAGAGCUUGCGUAUAUAUUAUAUUUUUUGCACAUACAAUUGUCAAUUUAUAGUGGGGACAGACCAUUGUUAAUUGUUGGUCUCGGUCUUAACUAGGGAUGCCUUGUACGGGUCUUUGGUUCAACAAACCACCCGGAGUACGUCCCUGCCCUUUGUACACACCGCCCGUCGCUCUUACCGAUGAACUUCUCUGUGAGUUUCAGGGACCGACCCACUAAUAUAGGAAACUUAAACGAACAGUGUGGUUUAAAGGAAAGAGAAGUCGAACAAGGCA
RNAcentral lists this ribosomal RNA (922 nucleotides) under Elphidiella sp. 14600. Its description in RNAcentral is "bacterial SSU rRNA". It matches the Rfam family "Eukaryotic small subunit ribosomal RNA", at positions 1160 to 1801 of the family's 1831-position model. Lineage: Eukaryota; Foraminifera; Rotaliida; Elphidiidae. The record is from RNAcentral.